GACGAACGCUGGCGGCGUGCCUAAUACAUGCAAGUCGAACGAACCGCGACUAGGUGCUUGCACUUGGUCAAGGUGAGUGGCGAACGGGUGAGUAACACGUGGGUAACCUACCUCAUAGUGGGGGAUAACAGUCGGAAACGACUGCUAAUACCGCAUAGGACAUAGGAUCACAUGAUCCAGUGAGGAAAGGUGGCGCAAGCUAUCGCUAAGAGAUGGACCCGCGGUGCAUUAGCUAGUUGGUAGGGUAAAGGCCUACCAAGGCGAUGAUGCAUAGCCGACCUGAGAGGGUGAUCGGCCACAUUGGGACUGAGACACGGCCUAAACUCCUACGGGAGGCAGCAGUAGGGAAUCUUCCGCAAUGGACGCAAGUCUGACGGAGCAACGCCGCGUGAGUGAAGAAGGUCUUCGGAUCGUAAAGCUCUGUUGUUAGAGAAGAACAGCGCAUAGAGUAACUGUUAUGCGUGUGACGGUAUCUAACCAGAAAGCCACGGCUAACUACGUG
Molecule: ribosomal RNA, 502 nt
Filed under: uncultured bacterium
Lineage: Bacteria
Description: partial 16S ribosomal RNA
Rfam family: Bacterial small subunit ribosomal RNA
Source: RNAcentral